ACUACGGGUGGCAGCAGUGAGGAAUAUUGGUCAAUGGCCGAGAGGCUGAACCAGCCAAGUCGCGUGAGGGAAGACGGCCCUACGGGUUGUAAACCUCUUUUGUCGGGGAGCAAAGAGAGUCACGUGUGACUCAUUGAGAGUACCCGAAGAAAAAGCAUCGGCUAACUCCGUGCCAGCAGCCGCGGUAAUACGGAGGAUGCGAUGGGUAUCCGGAUUUAUUGGGUUUAAAGGGUGCGCAGGCGGAGGUGCAAGUCAGCGGUCAAAUUGCGGGGCUCAACCCCGUACUGCCGUUGAAACUGCAGCCCUUGAGUGCGCGAGAAUUAUGCGGAAUGCGUGGUGUAGCGGUGAAAUGCAUAGAUAUCACGCAGAACUCCGAUUGCGAAGGCAGCAUACCGGCGCGCAACUGACGCUCAUGCACGAAAGCGUGGGUAUCGAACAGGAUUAGAUACCCGAGUAGUC
Molecule: ribosomal RNA, 459 nt
Filed under: uncultured bacterium
Lineage: Bacteria
Description: partial 16S ribosomal RNA
Rfam family: Bacterial small subunit ribosomal RNA
Source: RNAcentral